Molecule: ribosomal RNA, 497 nt
Filed under: uncultured bacterium
Lineage: Bacteria
Description: partial 16S ribosomal RNA
Rfam family: Bacterial small subunit ribosomal RNA
Source: RNAcentral
GAUGAACGCUGGCGGCGUGCCUAAUCCAUGCAAGUCGAGCGAACAGACGAGGAGCUUGCUCCUCUGACGUUAGCGGCGGACGGGUGAGUAACACGUGGAUAACCUACCUAUAAGACUGGGAUAACUUCGGGAAACCGGAGCUCAUACCGGAUAAUAUAUUGAACCGCAUGGUUCAAUAGUGAAAGACGGUUUUGCUGUCACUUAUAGAUGGAUCCGCGCCGCAUUAGCUAGUUGGUAAGGUAACGGCUUACCAAGGCAACGAUGCGUAGCCGACCUGAGAGGGUGAUCGGCCACACUGGAACUGAGACACGGUCCAGACUCCUACGGGAGGCAGCAGUAGGGAAUCUUCCGCAAUGGGCGAAAGCCUGACGGAGCAACGCCGCGUGAGUGAUGAAGGUCUUCGGAUCGUAAAACUCUGUUAUUAGGGAAGAACAAAUGUGUAAGUAACUAUGCACGUCUUGACGGUACCUAAUCAGAAAGCCACGGCUAACUACGUG